RNAcentral lists this ribosomal RNA (370 nucleotides) under uncultured bacterium. Its description in RNAcentral is "bacterial SSU rRNA". It matches the Rfam family "Bacterial small subunit ribosomal RNA", at positions 29 to 412 of the family's 1533-position model. The record is from RNAcentral.
AAUCAACGCUGGCGGCGUGCCUAACACAUGCAAGUCGAACGGGAAAGGUCCUUCGGGACUGAGUAGAGUGGCGAACGGGUGAGUAACGCGUGGAUAACCUGCCCUCAAGAGGGGGAUAACUCCGCGAAAGCGGGGCUAAUACCGCAUGAGCCCGCAAGGGGAAAGAUGCAAAUCGCUUGAGGAGGGGUCCGCGUCCGAUUAGCUAGUUGGUGGGGUAAGAGCUUACCAAGGCGACGAUCGGUAGCCGGUCUGAGAGGACGGACGGCCACACUGGGACUGAGACACGGCCCAGACUCCUACGGGAGGCAGCAGUGGGGAAUUUUGGGCAAUGGGCGAAAGCCUGACCCAGCAACGCCGCGUGGAGGACGAA